This 452-nucleotide ribosomal RNA is filed under the name uncultured bacterium. Its description in RNAcentral is "bacterial SSU rRNA". It matches the Rfam family "Bacterial small subunit ribosomal RNA", at positions 29 to 524 of the family's 1533-position model. The record is from RNAcentral.
AGCGAACGCUGGCGGCAGGCUUAACACAUGCAAGUCGAGCGGGCGUAGCAAUACGUCAGCGGCAGACGGGUGAGUAACGCGUGGGAACGUACCUUUUGGUUCGGAACAACACAGGGAAACUUGUGCUAAUACCGGAUAAGCCCUUACGGGGAAAGAUUUAUCGCCGAAAGAUCGGCCCGCGUCUGAUUAGCUAGUUGGUGAGGUAACGGCUCACCAAGGCGACGAUCAGUAGCUGGUCNGAGAGGAUGAUCAGCCACAUUGGGACUGAGACACGGCCCAAACUCCUACGGGAGGCAGCAGUGGGGAAUAUUGGACAAUGGGCGCAAGCCUGAUCCAGCCAUGCCGCGUGAGUGAUGAAGGCCCUAGGGUUGUAAAGCUCUUUUGUGNGGGAAGAUAAUGACGGUACCGCAAGAAUAAGCCCCGGCUAACUUCGUGCCAGCCGCCGCGGUAAU